This 329-nucleotide unclassified non-coding RNA is filed under the name soil metagenome. RNAcentral describes it as "partial contains 5.8S ribosomal RNA, internal transcribed spacer 2, and large subunit ribosomal RNA". The stretch from base 1 to 120 matches the Rfam family "5.8S ribosomal RNA", at positions 35 to 154 of the family's 154-position model. The record is from RNAcentral.
GAUGAAGAACGCAGCGAAAUGCGAUAAGUAGUGUGAAUUGCAGAAUUCAGUGAAUCAUCGAAUCUUUGAACGCACAUUGCGCCCUUUGGUCUUCCAUGGGGCAUGCCUGUUCGAGCGUCAUUUCACCACUCAAGCCUGGCUUGGUGUUGGGCGACGUCCUCUUUGGGGACGCGCCUCGAAACGCUCGGCGGCGUGGCACCGGCUUUAAGCGUAGCAGAAUCUUUCGCUUUGGAAGUCGGGGCCCCGUCUGCCGGAAGACCUGCUCGCAAGGUUGACCUCGGAUCAGGCAGGGAUACCCGCUGAACUUAAGCAUAUCAAUAAGCGGAGGA